This 460-nucleotide ribosomal RNA is filed under the name uncultured bacterium. Its description in RNAcentral is "partial 16S ribosomal RNA". It matches the Rfam family "Bacterial small subunit ribosomal RNA", at positions 338 to 795 of the family's 1533-position model. The record is from RNAcentral.
CCUACGGGAGGCAGCAGUGAGGAAUAUUGGUCAAUGGGCGCGAGCCUGAACCAGCCAAGUAGCGUGAAGGAUGACUGCCCUACGGGUUGUAAACUUCUUUUAUAAAGGAAUAAAGUGAGGCACGUGUGCCUGUUUGCAUGUACUUUAUGAAUAAGGAUCGGCUAACUCCGUGCCAGCAGCCGCGGUAAUACGGAGGAUCCGAGCGUUAUCCGGAUUUAUUGGGUUUAAAGGGAGCGUAGAUGGGUUGUUAAGUCAGUUGUGAAAGUUUGCGGCGUAACCGCAAAAUUGCAAUUGAUACUGGCAGUCUUGAGUACAGUUGAGGUAGGCGGAAUUCGUGGUGUAGCGGUGAAAUGCUUAGAUAUCACGAAGAACUCCGAUUGCGAAGGCAGCCUACUAAACUGACACUGACAUUGAUGCUCGAAAGUGUGGGUAUCAAACAGGAUUAGAUACCCCGGUAGUC